RNAcentral lists this ribosomal RNA (468 nucleotides) under uncultured bacterium. Its description in RNAcentral is "partial 16S ribosomal RNA". It matches the Rfam family "Bacterial small subunit ribosomal RNA", at positions 28 to 507 of the family's 1533-position model. The record is from RNAcentral.
GACGAACGCUGGCGGCGUGCUUAACACAUGCAAGUCGAACGGAAAGGCCCUGCUUUUGUUGGGUGCUCGAGUGGCGAACGGGUGAGUAACACGUGAGUAACCUGCCCUUGACUUUGGGAUAACUUCAGGAAACUGGGGCUAAUACCGGAUAGGAGCUCCUGCUGCAUGGGGGGGGUUGGAAAGAUUCGGCGGUUGGGGAUGGACUCGCGGCUUAUCAGCUUGUUGGUGAGGUAGUGGCUUACCAAGGCUUUGACGGGUAGCCGGCCUGAGAGGGUGACCGGCCACAUUGGGACUGAGAUACGGCCCAGACUCCUACGGGAGGCAGCAGUGGGGAAUAUUGCACAAUGGGCGGAAGCCUGAUGCAGCAACGCCGCGUGCGGGAUGACGGCCUUCGGGUUGUAAACCGCUUUCGCCGGUGACGAAGCGUGAGUGACGGUAAUGGGUAAAGAAGCACCGGCUAACUACGUG